Long non-coding RNA from Rosa chinensis, 1620 nucleotides. RefSeq lists it as uncharacterized. Lineage: Eukaryota; Viridiplantae; Streptophyta; Magnoliopsida; Rosales; Rosaceae. The transcript is spliced from 3 exons. The record is from RefSeq and is a predicted model, not a curated record.
AUCAGCAGUGAGACGCCUCCUCCCGAGAAGGUGAGGAGGCGUCUCAAAAUCUUGGAGCCCUCAGGCCUCAUCAUAUCUCUAUAACUGCUGCUACAAAACCCUCUUAGCUUUAGUCUAGAUCUCCUACAGCUUUAUAAACAAUCCCCACCUACGUGAUGAUAAUUCCUCAUGGUCUUCUAUACAGACCACAACGCCAUUGACCCAUCGUUUCAUCUCUGAGUUAUGGGCCAAUAGAAGAAGUGCCCCCAAGCUGGAUCAGUUCCAGAGAGAUCAGACGAUUUGCCCGAGUACUCGUCUGAGGAUGAAGGAGACUGAGCUCGAAGCUCCUUGUCUUACAGGAGAACUUGUCCUUCACUGACACCAUCUCUCUCUCUAACCUGUACUUACAGCGCAUGUGCGAAGUGGAGGAUAAUAGGUGCUUCACUAAAGCAAUUACAGCGUCCUCUCGUCUGCUGAGUUUCUCUACUCCCAUUGUCCUCAGUUCCUUCAACUUUUCAAGCAUAUCUGAGUACUAUUUUAAGAUCAUUCAGAACAGGCUCUCAAUCAGCCUCAUGUGAGCAUCUGGCUUCCGAAAAUGGCCAAACCUGUUUGUUACAGAGUGUACACAAGGCAGGGAUGAACAGAAGAAAGGAUCAUUUCCUUCUGGAUCGAGAAGAUGGCGUAGGCAGUCUAAUAAGCUUAAAAAGUUCGUUAGCCAUCUUGAAGAAAUUAGAUUGACUUUUUGAGAAUAAUGAAACUUGGCGAGCAUCUUCCCCGUGAAUCAUUUUGAUUUAAGUCGAGAUUGACAUGGAUGUGAUGACAAUUUAAGAAAAAGAUGUGAGCACAAGAAUUCGGAAGAAUUUGUGAAACCUUUUGCAUUGUCUAGAAGUUGCAAGUCUUCAACAGCAUAGGCAUAUCUUUCGUAGUUCCUUCUAUUCUUGAGGAACAUGAGUUGUCAGUAGACCAAAAUAAUGAUGAUUCACGAGGCAAAUGCUAUCCAUGCUUCCUCUCAAAAAGCCUAUCUGGCUUCUUCAAGAUGGCCAGAGAACUUCUCUGCUCUUCAGACUGAUGCCAUCACCUUCUCCUCCAAGGCAAUCCCAAUUCUUUUGACCGAUCUCAUUUUCCCUCGCUGAUAAACAGAUUUGACUUCUCGGAAUCCAGAGGAUGAUACAUUCAAACUGAGCUAGGCAGGAGGCUGUCUUGCAGGCAUCUUAACUUUUGAUCUACUUUUUUUUUUUGACAAUGAGUAUUUUGAUCUGCUUGAACUGUUUGGAUGUUGAGAAUAAACAAGAGGCUAGCUAGGAGAGACUACUGAAGCAGAGGACUAGAGGAGUAUGGCCGGAUUUGUAUGAGUUAAAGGGGGCGAUGGAGCAAGUGAAGGACAAGUACUCGUGCGAGAGGAGGAGCUUCCAGCCCUGCCGCUUCAUCCUUGGACGAGUACUCGUCCAAAAUCUUCAGUUCUCCCUGUAACUGACGCAGCUGGGUGUAUGUUGGUCUUUAUCAGUUGUGAAUGUCUACUUAUUUUGUUUGGGGUAUAGUGAUUUUUCAUGAAUUUUGCUGUUGUGUUGAAUAGUAUGGUAUGAUGUGAUGAUUGUAACUAGUGAAAAGGGAAUAAUAAAAUUCGUUCUCUAUUUUCGAUUC